This 669-nucleotide ribosomal RNA is filed under the name Staphylococcus saprophyticus. RNAcentral's name for it is "bacterial SSU rRNA". It matches the Rfam family "Bacterial small subunit ribosomal RNA", at positions 1 to 658 of the family's 1533-position model. Lineage: Bacteria; Bacillati; Bacillota; Bacilli; Caryophanales; Staphylococcaceae. The record is from RNAcentral.
UAGAGUUUGAUCCUGGCUCAGGAUGAACGCUGGCGGCGUGCCUAAUACAUGCAAGUCGAGCGAACAGAUAAGGAGCUUGCUCCUUUGACGUUAGCGGCGGACGGGUGAGUAACACGUGGGUAACCUACCUAUAAGACUGGGAUAACUUCGGGAAACCGGAGCUAAUACCGGAUAACAUUUGGAACCGCAUGGUUCUAAAGUGAAAGAUGGUUUUGCUAUCACUUAUAGAUGGACCCGCGCCGUAUUAGCUAGUUGGUAAGGUAACGGCUUACCAAGGCGACGAUACGUAGCCGACCUGAGAGGGUGAUCGGCCACACUGGAACUGAGACACGGUCCAGACUCCUACGGGAGGCAGCAGUAGGGAAUCUUCCGCAAUGGGCGAAAGCCUGACGGAGCAACGCCGCGUGAGUGAUGAAGGGUUUCGGCUCGUAAAACUCUGUUAUUAGGGAAGAACAAACGUGUAAGUAACUGUGCACGUCUUGACGGUACCUAAUCAGAAAGCCACGGCUAACUACGUGCCAGCAGCCGCGGUAAUACGUAGGUGGCAAGCGUUAUCCGGAAUUAUUGGGCGUAAAGCGCGCGUAGGCGGUUUCUUAAGUCUGAUGUGAAAGCCCACGGCUCAACCGUGGAGGGUCAUUGGAAACUGGGAAACUUGAGUGCAGAAGAGGA